UUAUUGCAGUAUAAACAAAUAUAAGAGCAUAUAAACAAGUGAUAUAUAGUGAUGAGUGCAUAUACAGGUAAUGGAUGUGUUAUUUUGUAGGCAUGUUUCGUUUCGAGUUCAAUAUAGAGCUCUAAAGGUCACUGCAUCUUCAUUGUUUCUUGUUUUCUGGGGCUUAAAUGCAACUUUUUGUGAGUGUUUUCUCUCUGAGCUUUAAAACUUUAAAGAUCCUCAAUAACUUUGUACUAGUUAUUGGAAGCG
Molecule: long non-coding RNA, 249 nt
Filed under: Gossypium barbadense (sea-island cotton)
Lineage: Eukaryota; Viridiplantae; Streptophyta; Magnoliopsida; Malvales; Malvaceae
Description: long non-coding RNA (GBAR_LNC007602)
Source: RNAcentral